GAUGAACGCUAGCGACAGGCCUAACACAUGCAAGUCGAGGGGCAUCGGGGCGUAGCAAUACGCUGCCGGCGACCGGCGGAUGGGUGAGUAACGCGUAUGCAACCUGCCUUCAGCAGGGGGAUAGCCCGUUGAAAGACGGAUUAAUACCCCGUAACACAGGGGCUCCGCAUGGAGAUUAUUGUUAAAGGGAUACUUCCUUCGGGGGGUAUUCCGGCUGAAGAUGGGCAUGCGUUCCAUUAGGUAGUUGGUUGAGGUAACGGCUCACCAAGCCUACGAUGGAUAGGGGAACUGAGAGGUUGGUCCCCCACACUGGUACUGAGACACGGACCAGACUCCUACGGGAGGCAGCAGUGAGGAAUCUUGGUCAAUGGACGGAAGUCUGAACCAGCCAUGUCGCGUGAAGGAGGACGGCCCUAAGGGUUGUAAACUUCUUUUGCAGCGGAAUAAAGUAUUCCACGUGAUGGGAUAUUGCAAGUACGCUGCGAAUAAGGAUCGGCUAACUCCGUGCC
This 509-nucleotide ribosomal RNA is filed under the name uncultured bacterium. Its description in RNAcentral is "bacterial SSU rRNA". It matches the Rfam family "Bacterial small subunit ribosomal RNA", at positions 28 to 509 of the family's 1533-position model. The record is from RNAcentral.